RNAcentral lists this unclassified non-coding RNA (391 nucleotides) under soil metagenome. RNAcentral describes it as "partial contains 5.8S ribosomal RNA, internal transcribed spacer 2, and large subunit ribosomal RNA". The stretch from base 1 to 122 matches the Rfam family "5.8S ribosomal RNA", at positions 35 to 154 of the family's 154-position model. The record is from RNAcentral.
GAUGAAGAACGUAGCGAAAUGCGAUACUUGGUGUGAAUUGCAGAAUCCCGUGAACCAUCGAGUCUUUGAACGCAAGUUGCGCCCGAAGCCAUUAGGCCGAGGGCACGCCUGCCUGGGCGUCACACGUCGUUGCCCCCCCAUCUACUCCUUCGGGAUUGCGGGGGGCGGAUGAUGGCCUCCCGUGCGCCUCGCCGCGCGGUUGGCAUAAAUGCCAAGUCCUCGGCGACGCACGCCACGACAAUCGGUGGUUGCGAAACCUCGGUUGCCCGUCGUGUGCGGUCGUCGCGCAUCGAGGGCUCGAAAAAAUUGUCGGGCUCCGGCUCGGCUUUCAACGCGACCCCAGGUCAGGCGGGGUUACCCGCUGAAUUUAAGCAUAUCAAUAAGCGGAGGA